CAAGGAAUCUUCCGCAAUGGGGGCAACCCUGACGGAGCAACGCCGCGUGGGGGAUGACGCCCUUCGGGGUGUAAACCCCUUUUCUUCGGGAAGAAGUUCUGACGGUACCGGAGGAAGAAGGACCGGCUAACUACGUGCCAGCAGCCGCGGUAAUACGUAGGGUCCGAGCGUUGUCCGGAGUUACUGGGCGUAAAGCGCGCGCAGGCGGCGGUGCUGGCCCGGCGUGAAAGCCCCCGGCUCAACCGGGGAGGGUCGUCGGGGACCGCACCGCUUGAGGGCGGUAGGGGCUGGUGGAAUGCCUGGUGUAGUGGUGAAAUGCGUAGAGAUCAGGCGGAACACCCGUGGCGAAGGCGGCCAGCUGGGCCGUCCCUGACGCUGAGGCGCGAAGGCGUGGGGAGCGAACGGG
This 406-nucleotide ribosomal RNA is filed under the name uncultured bacterium. Its description in RNAcentral is "bacterial SSU rRNA". It matches the Rfam family "Bacterial small subunit ribosomal RNA", at positions 355 to 776 of the family's 1533-position model. The record is from RNAcentral.